AGUGGGGAAUAUUGCACAAUGGGCGCAAGCCUGAUGCAGCGACGCCGCGUGGGGGAUGACGGCCUUCGGGUUGUAAACUCCUUUCGCUAGGGACGAAGCUUUUUGUGACGGUACCUAGAUAAGAAGCACCGGCUAACUACGUGCCAGCAGCCGCGGUAAUACGUAGGGUGCGAGCGUUGUCCGGAAUUACUGGGCGUAAAGGGCUCGUAGGUGGUUUGUCGCGUCGUCUGUGAAAUUCCGGGGCUUAACUCCGGGCGUGCAGGCGAUACGGGCAUAACUUGAGUACUGUAGGGGUAACUGGAAUUCCUGGUGUAGCGGUGAAAUGCGCAGAUAUCAGGAGGAACACCGAUGGCGAAGGCAGGUUACUGGGCAGUUACUGACGCUGAGGAGCGAAAGCAUGGGUAGCGAACAGGAUUAGAU
Molecule: ribosomal RNA, 420 nt
Filed under: Klebsiella pneumoniae
Lineage: Bacteria; Pseudomonadati; Pseudomonadota; Gammaproteobacteria; Enterobacterales; Enterobacteriaceae
Description: bacterial SSU rRNA
Rfam family: Bacterial small subunit ribosomal RNA
Source: RNAcentral